UACGUAGGGUGCAAGCAUUAAUCGGAUUUAUUGGGCGUAAAGGGCGCGUAGGCGGAAAUGCCAGUCAGAUGUGAAAGCCCGGGGCUCAACCCCGGAACAGCAUUUGAAACUACAUUUCUAGAGGGUAGGCGGAGAAAACGGAAUUCCACAAGUAGCGGUGAAAUGCGUAGAUAUGUGGAAGAACACCAGUGGCGAAGGCGGUUUUCUAGCUUAUACCUGACGCUGAGGCGCGAAAGCAAGGGGAGCAAAC
Molecule: ribosomal RNA, 250 nt
Filed under: uncultured prokaryote
Description: partial 16S ribosomal RNA
Rfam family: Bacterial small subunit ribosomal RNA
Source: RNAcentral